GAUGAACGCUGGCGGCGUGCCUAAUACAUGCAAGUCGAACGCUUCACUUCGGUGAAGAGUGGCGAACGGGUGAGUAAUACAUAAGUAACCUGGCAUCUACAGGGGGAUAACUGAUGGAAACGUCAGCUAAGACCGCAUAGGUGUAGAGAUCGCAUGAACUCUAUAUGAAAAGUGCUACGGGACUGGUAGAUGAUGGACUUAUGGCGCAUUAGCUGGUUGGUAGGGUAACGGCCUACAAAGGCGACGAUGCGUAGCCGACCUGAGAGGGUGACCGGCCAGACUGGGACUGAGACACGGCCCAGACUCCUACGGGAGGCAGCAGUAGGGAAUUUUCGGAAAUGGGGGAAACCCUGACCGAGCAACGCCGCGUGAAGGAAGAAGUAAUUCGUUAUGUAAACUUCUGUCAUAGAGGAAGAACGGUGGAUAUAGGGAAUGAUAUCCAAGUGACGGUACUCUAUAAGAAAGCCACGGCUAACUACGUGCCAGCCGCCGCGGUAA
This 498-nucleotide ribosomal RNA is filed under the name uncultured bacterium. RNAcentral's name for it is "partial 16S ribosomal RNA". It matches the Rfam family "Bacterial small subunit ribosomal RNA", at positions 28 to 523 of the family's 1533-position model. The record is from RNAcentral.